Molecule: long non-coding RNA, 418 nt
Organism: Drosophila eugracilis
Lineage: Eukaryota; Metazoa; Arthropoda; Insecta; Diptera; Drosophilidae
Exons: 3
Source: RefSeq, a predicted model, not a curated record
GUGCUUUCGGCUGUCGCCCGAACGCGGUGCACGAAGAACUUUACAUCGGUCGCCUUUGCCUGCUCGCCUUCUGCUGCCUCCGCGUCUCAUUCAGUUUUCAGUUUGCUUUGCUCUGUUCGCCGUUCACCACCGCCUCUCACCCGCGCGGCGUUUUGAUUCUGAUUGCCACUACUGUUGCACACACACACGCACGGCCGGAGAGUGUGCUGUGCCCGCCACCACCACCAUUGCAAUAUCAACUUGCAGGUGGCCUGACCCCCAAAAGGAACGUCCAUAUCCAUCUAAAUAUACUUUUAAGUCCGCUCCUGGCGAGCCCCCUGAAUCGGGCCAAAAAGAGAACCACAUGAGGUGAACGAUAGAAUUUGGCUGUGCGCCAAUUACACUGACAAACGGAUCAAGCUGCGGUAGCAACAACACC